RNAcentral lists this ribosomal RNA (520 nucleotides) under uncultured Glomus. RNAcentral's name for it is "SSU rRNA". It matches the Rfam family "Eukaryotic small subunit ribosomal RNA", at positions 569 to 1092 of the family's 1831-position model. Lineage: Eukaryota; Fungi; Glomeromycota; Glomeromycetes; Glomerales; Glomeraceae. The record is from RNAcentral.
AGCAGCCGCGGUAAUUCCAGCUCCAAUAGCGUAUAUUAAAGUUGUUGCAGUUAAAAAGCUCGUAGUUGAAUUUCGGGGUUAGUAGGUUGGUCAUGCCUCUGGUAUGUACUGGUCUCACUGAUUCCUCCUUCCUGAUGAACCUUAAUGCCAUUUAUUUGGUGUUUUGGGGAAUUUGGACUGUUACUUUGAAAAAUUAGAGUGUUUAAAGCAAGCUAACGCUUGAAUACAUUAGCAUGGAAUAAUGAAAUAGGACGUUCGAUCCUAUUUUGUUGGUUUCUAGGAUUGACGUAAUGAUUAAUAGGGAUAGUUGGGGGCAUUAGUAUUCAAUUGUCAGAGGUGAAAUUCUUGGAUUUAUUGAAGACUAACUACUGCGAAAGCAUUUGCCAAGGAUGUUUUCAUUAAUCAAGAACGAAAGUUAGGGGAUCGAAGACGAUCAGAUACCGUCGUAGUCUUAAUCAUAAACUAUGCCGACUAGGGAUCGGAUGAUGUUAAUUUUUAAUGACUCAUUCGGCGCCUUAAC